RNAcentral lists this transfer RNA (71 nucleotides) under Stegodyphus mimosarum. It matches the Rfam family "tRNA". Rfam says of the family: Transfer RNA (tRNA) molecules are approximately 80 nucleotides in length. Their secondary structure includes four short double-helical elements and three loops (D, anti-codon, and T loops). The record is from Rfam by way of RNAcentral. Lineage: Eukaryota; Metazoa; Arthropoda; Arachnida; Araneae; Eresidae.
GCUUUCGUGGUGUAACGGUAGCACACUUGACGCGCAUUCGAGAGGUCCAGGUUCGAGUCCCGGCGAGGGCA